This is a non-coding RNA of Chrysemys picta bellii (western painted turtle), 3212 nucleotides long. The record is from RefSeq and is a predicted model, not a curated record. Lineage: Eukaryota; Metazoa; Chordata; Testudines; Emydidae.
GUUACCAAGAGGCUUUUGAAAAUUACACCCUUUAGGAUGCUUAAGUUUACCUUGUUCAACCAGGGUUCUAGACAUAGUGCAAAUUAAAGACACUCAACUUUGUUUACAAGUAAUUAAAUGUGUAAAAACGCUGCGUGCCUACGACCACUGCUGCUUCCUCCCUGGGCUGGCUCCAUCUUAGCCUGGGGCACGCUCAGUUUCCCCAGCUGCGAGCUUGGCCCAUAGCCCGGCCUGUGGGCCUGCAGCCACUAGGGCCCUCCCUGCAGCAGGGCUGAGAGCAGAGGAAGCUCCAGCCUCCUGCAUUGUGCGCCGGCCCCUCCUCCCCCUCCGCCAGUCUAGAAGCCUGUCCUCCCGGCCGGUGGCCGGCGCCAAGGCUGCGAUCCCGGGUGCCGUGCAGUUCACACGGAAAGGUAAAGAAAAAAGUCCUGAUUACAUUCAGUGCCAAGCAUCUUCAACUCCUGUGGAAGUCAAUGAGGGUUUGGGUGCUGAGCACCUUGCAGAAUCCGGUCCACAGAGUUAGUUUUACUGGUUUAAGGUGGAAUACUCAUUUUGCUCAUAUCACUUGGAUGUCAAAUUUUAUGAUUAGUACUUCAGCAAUCAAGAACUGAGAUGUGAGUGACCAAACCCAAAGAUACAAUACAAUUAUUUACACACGCAAAAAUGGAGGCUUGGUAAAGACUGGGCUAAAAAUGUUACUCUCUCGAGUAAUGACAUGGAUGUCCACUGGUAUGCAGCAUGUUGUAGAGGUUUGCCAGUGACUCCAAAUGGGGAGGAGGCAGAGUAGAUACAGAGGGUCUUGACAAUGGCUACAUGGGCUGUGAGGUGCAAUUUAACUUAGGGAAAUGUAAAAUAAUGAGGUUAAGACUGAAAAAUGGCAAAGAAAUUUUUCUGUAAAUGAUUAGCAUCUUGCAGAAUGUAAUCUGCAAAGAUUACUCCUGGGGGAAUUCUGCGUGACUGCGCACCCACAGAAAAUGGCCCCAUGCAGAUUUCCUGUGUUUCCCUGCAGAAAAUGGCAGGGAAGUAAAGGGAAGCUGUGCGAGGGGCAACCAUAGGUGCAGUUUUUUGUGGGGGAUUGCCCCCCUCCAAACAGAGGCAAGGCAUGGGGGGGCACAUGGGGUUACAUGCCACUGCCCCCAGAUCUCACACUGAGCUGCCUGCACCCAGAUUGCCCCACACAGAAACCUCUCACUUCACACCUGGAUCCCCCCACACUUGCAUCCUGCUGGGCUGAGCCUGCUCACCCACACCUGGUGCACCUGGCGCAAAGGGGCAGGGCCCUGGGGUAUUUCUGGGCAGGCCCAGACCUUGCACUGUCAGGGUCAGGUGCAGCCUCACUGCCGAGUCCCUGUACUGGGGGAGGUGGGGGCUUCAGGGUCAUCUCCCACUACAAUGCAGCCAAUGGCCCGGGGUCCCCACUGCCAUGCUGGAGCCACAUUUAUUUAUUGACAAAUAAAAUUUGCAUAAUUUUAAAAUACUGUGUGUAUAAUUUUUAAUUUUUUGGUGCAGAAUUUUAAUUUUUUUGGUGCAGAAUUCCCUCAGGAGUAAAAGAUCCAUGGACGAGGAAGGCCAGCAAUUUGCAUCUGUCAGCUCAAUGUCUGGAGUUAGAAUAGCUGGUGAGAUAAAUUAAGCUUGUUUGGAGGGAGUUAUUGAACUGUUUUUGUCAAGUAAUGUUUUUAUUAUUAUUUUGUAUAGGCAUUCAGAUGCUUCAAUGAGUGCAUUUUUAUACAUCUAAAAAUAAGUGCAUAUCUUUUGCCAAAUUUCCCUUUUUUCAUCUUGAAGUAAUUUGAGUUAUUCAUGCACAGAAAAAUCUAAAACUGGCAAGCAUGCAGUAUGUGCCUGUAUAUCUUAUAUAUGUAUGUAUUUAGAUUUAUAAAAUAUGUAUUUCACUAGAACUUGGGACAUAUGAAUACAAUUUAAUAAACACAUAUUGUCAUACAUUUCUAUGCUUUGAGGGAUCAGGAUGUAUAUCAUUCCUUUCAAGAAACCAAUUCCCCAUUAGCCACUUGUUCUCACCCCUCAUAAAAAAAUCCCUAAAGAAGAGAUGUCCUUUUACUGAGCCCUGAAGGCUAGUAAAUUUGGGCUCUGUUGCACCAGCAGGGAGAGCUAAUUUCAGAGCAGAGGAACCCACCAGCCGCUUCAUGUUUAAAUCUGGGGAUUUUAGCUUGAUACGUCAGCUGAUGUCAACUGCUGUGGUGGAGUACAGGGUGAGGGCUAGUCACUCAGAUAGCUGGGACCAAACCAUCUCAUGCUUUAUAGACCAAAGUCAGUAACUUGAAUUGCAUCUUGGAGUGAGCAGAUAGUACAGUUUUGGAGAAUUUCUGAAGAACAGUUAUCACAUCUUCCCAUCAGCUAGCAUUGUCAAACAGGCAACUGUACUCUGCAUCAGCUGUAGCCCCAUGUACAGUAGUAGAGCUGUCUGCCUGUUGAAAUAAUCUAGUCUUAAAGUGACAGAGGCAUGGCUUACUACUUCCAGGUUCAGAUCCAGUAGAAAAGGAUAUGAGCAUUUCCGAGGCUAAGGAGUAUUUCCACUGAUGUCACUUGUGAUUUUAGAAGCAACAGAGGAUCCAAGAGCACCCCUAAAUUGUGAAACACUUGUGCAAAGGAUGGAAAAUCACCUCAAUAACAGAGGCAAGAGCUACCUUGCUUAUACCACUGAGUAUGCUAGCAUCUCUUUUGUCUUAUCCUGAGUUUGUGAACUUGCUCUCCUCCCAGUUCCACUCUUAGGUAAGCACUGAGUAGACAUGGAAAUGGUAGCAAGAGGGCCUGAUGAAAAUGAAACACAAAUCUAAGUGUCAUCCAUGUUUUGGAUGCAGCCUAAAUCACCUUCCAAUCCUACACCCAGCUUUAUGCAUGUGUUGAAUGACAGUGGUGAUACCAUGGAGCCUUACAGAACCCCAUAUGAUAAAUACCUCUGGAAGAUGAGCAACUACACGAAAAUAAUAAGUUGAGACUGCUUAGAUAGAAAAGUGCCGAACCACUACUGAGCAAUAUCACACAGUUGAGCCAGGCUGCACAUGUGAGUCAGCAAAAUCUGAUGGUCAAUACUAGAGGCUCCUUACACAUCUCAGAGAAUCACAUACACCAGACAGAUGUCCAUGAUUAGGAGAUCAGCAACCCAUGAGACAAGCAUAGUACCUGGUUCUUAGUCUUUCUAUUUUAGGUUUUUUUAUAGUACCAAAGAAACUAAGCGGUUUCAUAGAAUCAUAGAAUAU